Molecule: non-coding RNA, 26 nt
Filed under: Mus musculus (house mouse)
Lineage: Eukaryota; Metazoa; Chordata; Mammalia; Rodentia; Muridae
Source: RNAcentral
UAUUAGAAGGCAACUACAUCCGGAUG